UAGAUACCCUGGUAGUCCACGCCCUAAACGAUGCUGACUAGUUGUUCGGAAUUUACAUUCUGAGUAACGUAGCUAACGCGUGAAGUCAGCCGCCUGGGGAGUACGGUCGCAAGAUUAAAACUCAAAGGAAUUGACGGGGACCCGCACAAGCGGUGGAUGAUGUGGAUUAAUUCGAUGCAACGCGAAAAACCUUACCUACCCUUGACAUGUCACUAACGAAGUAGAGAUACAUUAGGUGCCCGUAAGGGAAAGUGAACACAGGUGCUGCAUGGCUGUCGUCAGCUCGUGUCGUGAGAUGUUGGGUUAAGUCCCGCAACGAGCGCAACCCUUGUCUUUAGUUGCUAUGCAAGAGCACUCUAAAGAGACUGCCGGUGACAAACCGGAGGAAGGUGGGGAUGACGUCAAGUCCUCAUGGCCCUUAUGGGUAGGGCUUCACACGUCAUACAAUGGUGCAUACAGAGGGUUGCCAACCCGCGAGGGGGAGCUAAUCUCAGAAAAUGCAUCGUAGUCCGGAUCGUAGUCUGCAACUCGACUACGUGAAGCUGGAAUCGCUAGUAAUCGCGGAUCAGAAUGUCGCGGUGAAUACGUUCCCGGGUCUUGUACACACCGCCCGUCAUACCAUGGGAGUGGGUUUUGCCAGAAGCCGUUAGCCUAACCGCAAGGAGG
Molecule: ribosomal RNA, 666 nt
Filed under: uncultured beta proteobacterium
Lineage: Bacteria; Pseudomonadati; Pseudomonadota; Betaproteobacteria
Description: bacterial SSU rRNA
Rfam family: Bacterial small subunit ribosomal RNA
Source: RNAcentral